Hydractinia symbiolongicarpus is the source of this 791-nucleotide long non-coding RNA. RefSeq lists it as uncharacterized. The record is from RefSeq and is a predicted model, not a curated record. NCBI's taxonomy places the organism in Eukaryota, Metazoa, Cnidaria, Hydrozoa, Anthoathecata, Hydractiniidae. The transcript is spliced from 3 exons.
CUGCCAACGAGGCGAAGAAAUAACGUUCGCUACUACACAGGUUUAAAAAACCACUUUUCGAGUAGGCGAGAUCUUUAGUCUCGAUUUUUGUUGAAACUGAAAUCAUUUAUUUAUUUUGUACACAUUGUUGAUAAGGAGGGUGUGCCACAAAGGUCUUUCGUGUGUUGUCUUUUGUAUCGUUUUAGAAAUAUUGGAAAUUUUGUUAUUGUAUGGUUUUAAAUAACGUGAAGACGAGGUAACCGUACAUUCCAUUUGUUGGACAGUGUCGAAGACAGUCAUUCUUAUUGCGUUUUGUAGUAAAGAAUUUGUUUAUAUAAAUGGCAAGAAAGACAUAAGGAAGAGAAUUCAACCAAAGGUUUUGUGAAGAUCAGCUAGCUAUUAUUAAAGAAAGAAGAAAAAUACGGACAGACAAACUAUCGUACAGCGUUUAAUAAUUGUGUUAUGUAUGAAAGACAUGGAACAUUGUUCAGAUCCUAUCGCGAGCUUGUAAGAAAUAGUACGAAGUUGUUAUUGGUAAAAAAGCGGCAUAAAAGGCGACUUCGCAAAAGAUACAACCUUAAUGGCGUGAUCUCGUACAUCUUUCUUGGCUAACGCAAUGGCCUCCUCACAAAGAAAAAUUUGUGUGAUUUCAUUUGUAAUAGGAGAGCUACCAGCAUUGGCAUAAACUGCUGCAGACGCCUUCCAUAUUUUCAUCUGACGUGAGCCUAUUGAUACGAAUCAUCGCUUAGUAAAGUUCUUUCCAUGAGUUUCAAUAAAAAUCAAUUUCAUCACUUUUCAUAAAUAUGAAUAAU